GGAGCCUGAGAAACGGCUACCACAUCUAAGGAAGGCAGCAGGCGCGCAAAUUACCCAAUGAAAACAGUUUUGAGGUAGUGACGAGAAAUAACAAUACAGAGCAUUUAAAUGUUUUGUAAUUGGAAUGGUGGGAAUCUAAACCCCUUUCAGAGUAACAAUUGGAGGGAAAGUCUGGUGCCAGCAGCCGCGGUAAUUCCAGCUCCAAUAGCGUAUAUUUGAGUUGUUGCAGUUAAAAAGCUCGUAGUUGGAUUUCUGUCUUGGCUUUUACGUGUACUACAUGUAUAUUAAUUUAUAGAUGUUUUAUAACAGCGUUUAAACUUUGACAUAUUAUCCCAAUGUGUGUAUGUGUGUGUAUAUAUAGAGAAUUAGGUUUUAACACCUUGAUUUAAUAUAUAUAUAUAUAUAUAAUCAUUGGGACUUUUACUUUGAAAAAAAUAGAGUGUUUCAAGCAGGUAUUUUUUUGCCUUGAAUAC
Molecule: ribosomal RNA, 473 nt
Filed under: Eimeriidae sp.
Lineage: Eukaryota; Apicomplexa; Conoidasida; Eucoccidiorida; Eimeriidae
Description: bacterial SSU rRNA
Rfam family: Eukaryotic small subunit ribosomal RNA
Source: RNAcentral